UGGAUUUUUGCUAAACAGUUAAUAGUAUUAUACUGCUUCUAAUAUGAUACAUGGAAGGUGCCCCCCGUUAAUAUUAUCCAUACUGACUUUCUUUAGAUACCAAGUACUUCACUUUCCCCUCUCUUUUAGGAAUACCAAGUACUUAGCAAUUAUGACAGGAUAUACAUGGAAGCCAAAGAAAAAGCUAAUUAAGGUAUAGAGCAUACAAGCAAUAUCUUAAUAGAAUGGCCGGCGAUGGUGAGCCGCAAACAAAACCGCACCAAAUUCUCGGGCGAGUUCGGUGCUAUCAAGGACAGGCUCUUUCUUUAAAGGAGUGUUAUGGACUGAAUUGGGGUAGUAGUAAUCAUUAGCUGGUGGUGGCCUCCUUUUCCAGUCCCGGCACUCAUCUAGUAUGUCAAAGGCCUCUCUGCCCAUCUUAGCAAGGUGAUCCCUUCGAGGAUCCAUGCACAAGAAUAGCUCAGGUCAGUACAAGAGCCAAGAGCUUCUGAAUUUUGGGUUGCUAGGACACUGUGGCUGGCCAUUGCUUCUUAUAUAGGCAUGAGUCUUGUC
RNAcentral lists this long non-coding RNA (549 nucleotides) under Elaeis guineensis (African oil palm). Its description in RNAcentral is "long non-coding RNA (EGUI_LNC027052)". Lineage: Eukaryota; Viridiplantae; Streptophyta; Magnoliopsida; Arecales; Arecaceae. The record is from RNAcentral.